AUUAUUAUCACAUGCUUCGAUUGUUAUCACAUGCCUUUCCGUAACGUUAUCACAUGGGAUUCCGGUGAUACUCGACAAAUUCCGGAAAAUACACCUCAAUGCUACGUUUUCAGUGAAAAAAACAUUACAAAGUAGUGUACAUUACAAUUAUUUGAAUACUGGAAAAGUAUAUUGGUGUAAAAUAAUACUAAAAAAAAAAACAACAAAAAAAAACAAAAAAAUAUUAAAUAAAUGCAUUUUUUUUUAAAGUUUCACUGAAACAUAAUUUAGAAAGUUUCUUUAAAAUAAAAAUUCCAAACAAUUAAUGUUCAUUAUGCAUAUUGUUGAAUUAUUUUUUUGUCGAUUCGUCCAUAUUAAAAUGUUAUUUUUUUCUCUAUUGAGGCAUAUGAUAGAAAGAUUUCAUAUCGAAAUGUAUAAAAUUUUUGGUCUGACGUCCGUGAACUUUUCACUCUUUGAACUUCUGUUUGGGAACCACGUAAAAGGAUCAAUCCAUGAAUCUGUUAUUUUUCUACAUUGUUGAAGUAUAUGAUAAAAAGACCAUAACAUGUCAUUUUUCAUAUCGCAUGUAUUAUCAACCAUAGGUCAAUAUCAGCCCUCGAGCCAUGGCGGCUCUUGGGCUGAUAUUGAACUUAGGGCUGAUAAUACAUGCGAUAUGAAAAAUGCCAUGUAAUAAUCUGAUAUUAUUUUUUUAUUUAGUAUUACCAAUAUUCUUUAUUCUUUAUAUUUUAGCACCCCUUUAUACUUUUUUUCUUUUUUUCUUUUUUGCAUUUCAUUCUGCAAUUUUUUGCCCAUUAUUCUAUAUUCCGUAAACCCCAAUCAGACCCUCUUUUAUGGAACAUUUUAAAAUGAAAUUAUACUUUGUAAAAAAUAUGAUACAUGAAUGUUCAUUAUCAAUAUACAUAUCUAAAACAAUUACUAAUUCAGACAAAAAUACAUUGUAAGUACAUGAACGCAAAAAUGGUAAAAACUUAAAAAUAGAAAUCAUCAGGGUUACUGUCUACAAGUCGACGCAAUAAAAGAUGUGAUUGAAGCUAUAUUUUUUUAUGCCCCCACCCCCCCCUUCCUCAACUACCCUUGUACGUCUGUCCGCCCGUCAUUCCGUCUGGCCGCCAGUCCUUCCGUCCGUCCGUCCCCCUUUAUAGUUAUUCGGCAAAACAUCUACAGUUUGAAUCCUAGAACGUUUUCACAGUAAAUUACGCAGACAAACUGACAUCUUUGUUAAUAUCUUUUUUGUUCUGUAUAAAAUUUAUUGUAUACAAGUCUACAAAAACGUUUUAAAAAGUUUACUAAAUGGUUAUUGUUCCAUAAUUGUACAUAUGUAUGCUCGAAGUAUAUAUAGAAUCAGUACAUGAUACAUAACAUGCGACAAAUAAAAGGGGGGGGUAGUAAUAACAGGAAACUAAAUUAAACUAAGGCUUGUAUGGAUGUAAACUUCAAUAAAACUGGAAGUUACAUAAGGGGGACAGGAAAAUAAGAAUAUAUUGCAUCACUUACAACAACCUUUAAAUUGACCAGUGAUUUUUUUAUUCAUUACUGACCAGCAACACCGAGAUAAUCCAACGAUUUUUUAAGGGUCCGUAUUAAGUGUGGACCUAAAUGUUCUUUAUCUUUGAAUAUAACGC
This 1622-nucleotide long non-coding RNA is filed under the name Mytilus galloprovincialis (Mediterranean mussel). The record is from RNAcentral. Lineage: Eukaryota; Metazoa; Mollusca; Bivalvia; Mytilida; Mytilidae.